RNAcentral lists this ribosomal RNA (546 nucleotides) under Naganishia adeliensis. Its description in RNAcentral is "eukaryotic LSU rRNA". It matches the Rfam family "Eukaryotic large subunit ribosomal RNA", at positions 122 to 657 of the family's 3401-position model. The record is from RNAcentral. Lineage: Eukaryota; Fungi; Basidiomycota; Tremellomycetes; Filobasidiales; Filobasidiaceae.
UGGUAGCCUUCGGUUGCCCGAGUUGUAAUCUAGAGAAGUGUUUUCCGUGCCGGCCCAUGUACAAGUCCCUUGGAACAGGGCGUCAUAGAGGGUGAGAAUCCCGUCCUUGACAUGGACCCCCGGUGCUUUGUGAUACACUUUCAACGAGUCGAGUUGUUUGGGAAUGCAGCUCAAAAUGGGUGGUGAAUUCCAUCUAAAGCUAAAUAUUGGCGAGAGACCGAUAGCGAACAAGUACCGUGAGGGAAAGAUGAAAAGCACUUUGGAAAGAGAGUUAAACAGUACGUGAAAUUGUUGAAAGGGAAACGAUUGAAGUCAGUCAUGCUCUUAGGAUUCAGCCGUUCUGCGGUGUAUUUCCUUUGAGUGGGGUCAACAUCAGUUUUGAUCGAUGGAUAAAGGCACGAGGAAGGUAGCACUCUCGGGUGAACUUAUAGCCUCGCGUCAUAUACAUUGAUUGGGACUGAGGAACGCAGCAUGCCUUUAUGGCCGGGAUUCGUCCACGUACAUGCUUAGGAUGUUGACAUAAUGGCUUUAAACGACCCGUCUUGA